Molecule: long non-coding RNA, 350 nt
Filed under: Physcomitrium patens
Lineage: Eukaryota; Viridiplantae; Streptophyta; Bryopsida; Funariales; Funariaceae
Description: long non-coding RNA (PPAT_LNC013029)
Source: RNAcentral
UGAAUUGAACAUGACGGCCAGGAGAAGCUAACAUCCGAAACAAGUCCCAUUAUCUUAGAGCUCAACAUGCACGCAAGUAGAAGAUGCCGUUAGCGUAGAUGGAAGUUGGAAUCAAGCAACUGAUGGCGUUUUCUAAGAUGUUGCUUGUGAGAUGUACCAUACAACUUAAGGAACACAGGACAUGCACCGCAUGAACUCAGGCCCAUCGCCUGUGGUUCCGAGAACCAUUUUCAGCUUCCGCGGCGGCUAAAAACUGCUGUCAAAAUAUUGAUAUUUCUCCACCAGUUGUUACUUAGGCAGGGUCCGGGGUAGGAGUAGAAGAACCGUUACCAGAUUUUGCCGGCUUGUUC